This is a long non-coding RNA of Oncorhynchus tshawytscha (Chinook salmon), 655 nucleotides long. NCBI's taxonomy places the organism in Eukaryota, Metazoa, Chordata, Actinopteri, Salmoniformes, Salmonidae. The record is from Ensembl.
ACCAGCCAAAUUAGUCUUCUCCUAGUUGGCACAGACAGUGACAGUCAGGCCGUAGCACGACAGUCUUGUCCGGAUGCCGUUGACCGCUGCUCUGACGAUAUUCACUUUCUAGCGCUGUAUUUAGGAGUUCCCUGUGGGUAGAUGGUCAGCCUGUGACAUCUACUGGCAUGGAGUGUCCUUCCAUGACAACGAUAACAUCCUCUCUGGACAGGUCAACAAGUUCCCAGGUAUGAUAGAGAUGCUGAGAAAGAUCAACCUGAGCCGAGCGGUGAGGACCAUGCAGGAGCUGUUCCCUGAGGAGUACAAAUUCUACCCCCGCUCCUGGAUCCUACCUAGGGAGUACCACCGCUCCUGAAUCCUACCUGAGGAGUACAACUUCUACCACCGCUCCUGAAUCCUACCUGAGGAGUACAACUUCUACCCCCGCUCCUGGAUCCUACCUGAGGAGUACCACCGCUCCUGAAUCCUACCUGAGGAGUACAAUUUCUACCACCGCUCCUGGAUCCUACCUGAGGAGUACAACUUAUACCCCCGCUCCUGGAUCCUACCUGGGGAGUACCACCGCUCCUGGAUCCUACCUGAGGAGUACCACCGCUCCUGGAUCCUACCUGAGGAGUACAACUUCUACCACCGCUCCUGGAGCCUACCUGGGGAG